UGAGGCCCCAGUAGUAAACCACAAGCUUGAAAGAAGCUCAGAAGAGAGUGAAAAAAGCAGACUUCAAGAGCAACAGGAGGAUACAGUUUCUCCAUUCGAGAUGCCGGCGCAGACUUCAAAGGGAAACUCCACAGCAGCAGCCCUCCUGGCUUCUGCUGAAACCAUACAUGGCUGACCUACAAAAUGUACCUGUGGAGAGACAAAGACGCUGUACAGUCACUUUUAUGAAAUCUAUGAAAUUCAUAGUUCCGAUGCUUUUGUCCAUAGAGCAUCAUUUUAUCACGUUGUGGAAAACAUUUAUUCCAAGAGAGCUUUAAAUAUCCCCACCGUACCCUCAACAAACUCGGAGCUCUUUCCGCUGUCACCAGCCCGCUGCUGUUGCUGCUACGUAUUCAUUCCAUCCACACAAUUGAGAGUUCUCUUCCUCCUGUGUGCGGCCUACAAUCAGAAUCUUCCCCUCCUGAAAGGUUUUGAAUUUGGAAUUACUCAGUUAAAUUUGCUGCCUUUGGGGCCUUCCUUAUUGAUUUCUUUUACUGUCAACACUUAAACAUGUUUUCUUUCCGAAGCUGAUCAUGUCUCAUUUUCACUUUUUGAUUAAUAAGCAUACCACACUCUAUUUAAGAUGUGCCUUUUUUUUUUUAAUUAUUGCAAAGUUAAGAUGUGUCCUUUUUUUGUUCUGUAAGUACAUCACAGUCAGAUUGCAAAGUCAGUUACCGCCAUUCUGCUGCCAGCAUACUCAUGAAUGCUAGUGUUUACUUUUUUUGCCUUUUUUUUAUGAAGAGAAAUGGAUCUGGAGGGACUGGGCUCUUCCUCUGUUGAAAUAGGGUGUGUGUAUCAACAAGCAGGUAUAUUCAAUUGGCAGUUAAGUUUGUGUACAAAUGUAAUUAUGUUCAUUGUGUAUAUAUUAUACAAUGAGCACAACUAAUGUAAGUAUAAGAAACCACUUAUUGUUCAAAUGCAAAUGUUCAUAUCUCAUUUCUUUUAUAUCAUGUUAUAAAUAAAUGUUGAUGUUCUUAA
Candoia aspera is the source of this 1017-nucleotide long non-coding RNA. RefSeq lists it as uncharacterized. Lineage: Eukaryota; Metazoa; Chordata; Lepidosauria; Squamata; Candoiidae. The record is from RefSeq and is a predicted model, not a curated record. The transcript is spliced from 2 exons.